GUUAGGAAUAUUGGACAAUGGGCGCAAGCCUGAUCCAGCCAUGCCGCGUGAACGAUGAAGGCCUUCGGGUUGUAAAGUUCUUUAGCCGAUGAUUAUAAUGACUGUAGUCGGAAAAUAAGCCCCGGCUAACUUCGUGCCAGCAGCCGCGGUAAUACGAAGGGGGCGAGCGUUAUUCGGAAUCACUGGGCGUAAAGCGUGCGUAGGCGGUCUCGUAAGUUUGGAGUGAAAGCCCAGGGCUCAACCUUGGAAUUGCUCUUAAUACUGGAAGGCUAGAAUCUCGGAGAGGAUAGCGGAAUUUCCAGUGUAGCAGUGAAAUGCGUAGAUAUUGGAAGGAACACCAGUGGCGUAAGCGGCUAUCUGGACGAGUAUUGACGCUGAGGCACGAAAGCGUGGGGAUCAAACAGGAUUAGAAACCCGAGUAGUCC
RNAcentral lists this ribosomal RNA (425 nucleotides) under uncultured bacterium. RNAcentral describes it as "partial 16S ribosomal RNA". It matches the Rfam family "Bacterial small subunit ribosomal RNA", at positions 354 to 796 of the family's 1533-position model. The record is from RNAcentral.